This 569-nucleotide long non-coding RNA is filed under the name Setaria viridis. Its description in RNAcentral is "long non-coding RNA (SVIR_LNC006020)". Lineage: Eukaryota; Viridiplantae; Streptophyta; Magnoliopsida; Poales; Poaceae. The record is from RNAcentral.
AAAGGAACCAGAACUGAACUGAAACUGGCUCAGAUUCAGACCACAAAAGAAAGGUCCCAUUUCCAGCUGGAACAAGUUAUCGCGCCCACAGCUUGACUCGCAGCCAGUGCAAGCUGAUAAACAUCGAGGGCAGGCGCAUGACAUGCCAGGUGAAGCACACGGAAAAAGGUACCAAGAGAAAACGGCACAUCCUGCCCUGUGUUUAUCGAAGUUAAUUUUUACUGUUGCAUCUUUACAGCUGCAGAGAAGCAUUGCGACUUGAUAGAUGGUGGGUGCGACGUCAUUCCACACAUAUGGAUGGACGCUUUCCAAGCAUGCAUGGUACUCGUUACUCGGGAUAAGACUUGGAGCCACCUCCUCCUCCAAUCCCUGCUCCGAUCCUCAGCAUGACACGGUUCAGAGCACCUGGUGCGUCCGUCCCUGUCCGUGUCCGCUUGAGAUCAAAUCAUGCCGACCUGAUUGAUCGAUUCUUAAGCCACGCUCAGACCUUGAUCUCCCUCGUGCAUUGUUCGUCAACCACCUCUUGUCCACGUUCAUUUGUCCGUUGACAUUGUUCAUUAGUCAACCAU